RNAcentral lists this ribosomal RNA (486 nucleotides) under uncultured bacterium. RNAcentral describes it as "partial 16S ribosomal RNA". It matches the Rfam family "Bacterial small subunit ribosomal RNA", at positions 28 to 523 of the family's 1533-position model. The record is from RNAcentral.
GACGAACGCUGGCGGUGUGCUUAACACAUGCAAGUCGAACGGAAAGGCCUCAGCUUGCUGGGGUACUCGAGUGGCGAACGGGUGAGUAACACGUGGGUGAUCUGCCCUGCACUUUGGGAUAAGCUUGGGAAACUGGGUCUAAUACCGAAUAUGACCACUUCUUGGAUGUUGUGGUGGAAAGCUUUUGCGGUGUGGGAUGAGCCUGCGGCCUAUCAGCUUGUUGGUGGGGUAAUGGCCUACCAAGGCGGCGACGGGUAUCCGGCCUGAGAGGGUGUACGGACACAUUGGGACUGAGAUACGGCCCAGACUCCUACGGGAGGCAGCAGUGGGGAAUAUUGCACAAUGGGCGCAAGCCUGAUGCAGCGACGCCGCGUGGGGGAUGAAGGCCUUCGGGUUGUAAACUCCUUUCGCUAUCGACGAAGCCACUUGUGGUGACGGUAGGUAGAUAAGAAGCACCGGCUAACUACGUGCCAGCCGCCGCAGUAA